AACGAACGCUGGCGGCAUGCCUAACACAUGCAAGUCGAACGAGACCUUCGGGUCUAGUGGCGCCCGGGUGCGUAACGCGUGGGAACCUUCCCUUAGGUUCGGAAUAACUCCCCGACAGGGGUGCUAAUACCGGAUCAUGUCUUCGGACCAAAGAUUUAUCGCCUUUGGAUGGGCCCGCGUGGGAUUAGCUAGUUGGUAGGGUAAAAGCCUACCAAGGCGACGAUCCAUAGCUGGUCUGAGAGGAUGAUCAGCCACACUGGGACUGAGACACGGCCCAGACUCCUACGGGAGGCAGCAGUGGGGAAUAUUGGAAAAUGGGCGAAAGCCUGAUCCAGCAAUGCCGCGUGAGUGAUGAAGGCCUUAGGGUUGUAAAGCUCUUUUACCCGGGAUGAUAAUGACAGUACCGGGAGAAUAAGCUCCGGCUAACUCCGUG
This 433-nucleotide ribosomal RNA is filed under the name uncultured bacterium. RNAcentral describes it as "partial 16S ribosomal RNA". It matches the Rfam family "Bacterial small subunit ribosomal RNA", at positions 29 to 507 of the family's 1533-position model. The record is from RNAcentral.